GACGAACCGUGCGAACGUUGUUCGGAAUCACUGGGCUUAAAGGGCGCGUAGGCGGCGCGUCAAGUCGGGGGUGAAAGCGUUCGGCUCAACCGGACCAGGGCCCCCGAUACUGACACGCUCGAGGGAGGCAGGGGCCGACGGAACUUCCGGUGGAGCGGUGAAAUGCGUUGAUAUCGGAAGGAACGCCGGUGGCGAAAGCGGUCGGCUGGACCUCUACUGACGCUGAGGCGCGAAAGCCAGGGGAGCGAACGGG
RNAcentral lists this ribosomal RNA (253 nucleotides) under uncultured bacterium. Its description in RNAcentral is "partial 16S ribosomal RNA". It matches the Rfam family "Bacterial small subunit ribosomal RNA", at positions 524 to 776 of the family's 1533-position model. The record is from RNAcentral.